AAUGCAGAGCCUGAAUUAAAGGAUUACCGUGAUAGGGUAAAACAUGCGAAGCAUAUCGCCUGCAUUA
Molecule: transfer RNA, 67 nt
Filed under: Cryptotermes declivis
Lineage: Eukaryota; Metazoa; Arthropoda; Insecta; Blattodea; Kalotermitidae
Description: tRNA-Ile
Source: RNAcentral